RNAcentral lists this ribosomal RNA (472 nucleotides) under uncultured bacterium. RNAcentral describes it as "bacterial SSU rRNA". It matches the Rfam family "Bacterial small subunit ribosomal RNA", at positions 29 to 507 of the family's 1533-position model. The record is from RNAcentral.
AAUGAACGUUGGCGGCGUGGAUUAGGCAUGCAAGUCGUGCGAGAAGUCUUUUGCUUGCAUUAGACGGAAAGCGGCGCAAGGGAGAGUAACGCGUGGAUACCUACCCCCAGGUUCGGGAUAGCUGCGGGAAACUGCAGGUAAUACCGAAUAAUAUCUCCGGAUCAAAGGUGUGAUUCCGCCUGGAGACGGAUCCGCGUCCUAUUAGCUUGUUGGUGGGGUAACGGCCUACCAAGGCUACGAUGGGUACCGGGCGUGAGAGCGUGACCCGGCUCACUGGGACUGAGACACUGCCCAGACACCUACGGGUGGCUGCAGUCGAGAAUCUUUGGCAAUGGACGAAAGUCUGACCAAGCGACGCCGCGUGCGGGAUGAAGGCCCUCGGGUUGUAAACCGCUGUCAGUUGGGAGGAAAUCACAUGGGGUCAUCCCCAUGUGUUGACCUAUCUUCAGAGGAAGGACGGGCUAAGUUCGUG